This 371-nucleotide unclassified non-coding RNA is filed under the name uncultured Glomeromycotina. RNAcentral describes it as "sequence contains 28S rRNA gene". The record is from RNAcentral. Lineage: Eukaryota; Fungi; Glomeromycota.
AGAGUUAAAUAGUACGUGAAAUUGUUGAAAGGGAAACGAUUGAAGUCAGUCAUGCUGGCGAGAAUCAAUUUUGGGGAAGGGGGAUUUUUUUGAACCUAACUUUGAAAUGCACUUCUUCGCUUGGCAGGUUAGCGUCGAUUUUGAACGUCAUAAAAUGAUUGGGGGAAGGUAGCUCUUUCGGGAGUGUUAUAGCCCUUGAUUAAUGUGAUGUUUGGGAUCGAGGAUUGCAACGGAUACCUUUUAGGCUAGCCGCCUGGCCUCUGAUUCGAUGUUGGGUUAUAGACAGCAUGCUGACUAUGAUCUGAUUAUUGGUCAAAAGGUUAGAGCGAGCAUAAAUUCGUUAAGGACGCUGACGUAAUGGCUUUAAACGA